UUGACAUUUACCCCUCAUUUACUUUCCCCAACACUCGUCAACUCCCCAACUCCCUCCUUGCUUCUGCUCCAUUGAACCUGCAAAAAACCCUCGUUGCUUAUCCAAACAAGAUAAUCGACACUACACAUAUAAGGGCAUACGUUUAAUACGAAAUGGUGUUCGUAAUGUGGCAUAUCAGACCAAAACACGAAGUUGUUGAUGUAUCAACUGUAUAUGGUAAGCUGCUCUGUUUUCUUUAACUUUUAUACUUUGCAUUUUCUUAUUGAUUUAGAACAAAAAAAUGCAAAAUUUUAACUUUGUUAAUAUGUACAAUUUUGAUUUUUAGCUGGUGCACCCACAUGGUUUAGUAUUAAGCUUCAUCACGGUGGGAAAUUUACUAAAUUACCUGAUAUAAAGUACAUUGGAGGUGAAGUGCGUUAUGUUGAUUAUGUGGAC
Molecule: long non-coding RNA, 435 nt
Filed under: Lactuca sativa (garden lettuce)
Lineage: Eukaryota; Viridiplantae; Streptophyta; Magnoliopsida; Asterales; Asteraceae
Description: long non-coding RNA (LSAT_LNC001257)
Source: RNAcentral